This is a long non-coding RNA of Hyla sarda, 639 nucleotides long. RefSeq lists it as uncharacterized. The transcript is spliced from 3 exons. Lineage: Eukaryota; Metazoa; Chordata; Amphibia; Anura; Hylidae. The record is from RefSeq and is a predicted model, not a curated record.
GCAUGCGGCUGCCAGGAGCGAGUGUGCAUGAAUUUACAGCAUCAGUGCUUGGAGCGUCUGAGGAUUGCAGCACAAGACCAGGAGUUCAUAAACUUUUAUGGAGCUUCACUUCAAGGGACACCAUUAUAUUUUUCUGUAUUUUUCUGCCGGAAGAAGGGUUGAUUGUAACGCAAAACCGACGGCAGUUGCCUGUUUUCUGAGCGCUGUCAGCAUUUGCUAGAAGUCCCACAUUACAGAGGAGGUCCGGAGUCCGAGGCCGCAAAACCCGUACUGUAGGAAAGAAAACAGCGCUAACUACGUGAUCAGUUCAGAUAUUUGAUGAAUGAUCCUUUUAAUGGAGAAGUUGCAAAGGAAAAUCAGUUCAAUAAGAAACUGUGUGCAUGCAUUAUUUAUAGCUGUGGGUUCUUAUCAAGCUAAGGUUUCUCAAGGAAAUUAAAAACUAAGUGAAAGAUCUGUUACGUGAAAACAUAGUUUGGUAUCAUUCAUAUGCUUCAGUCCUGAACAAAAGUAUACAGUUAUUCUCAAAACACUUUCACAGAUUCAAUUUAUGAAGCAUUUCAUAUCUUCUCCCUAAAUGAAUAAUGCAUUUGCAACAGUCUGGUGAUUUCUUUAAGUAGGAAUAAGUAUAUUCCAACAGAG